Molecule: long non-coding RNA, 693 nt
Filed under: Equus caballus (horse)
Lineage: Eukaryota; Metazoa; Chordata; Mammalia; Perissodactyla; Equidae
Description: lncRNA (ENSECAG00000055359.1)
Source: RNAcentral
GCCAGAAUUCUAGAGGAGGGAAAACCCCAGGGCUGCACAGAAUGACAGUCUGCAACGGAAGGACACAAAGGCGCCCAGAAGCCACUCGCUGCAUCUGACUGUGAGAUCUUUCAGAGGAAAGAGGGCUGCUCAGCUUUUCUGAGUCACUGGGUUUAGAUUGACAAUUUGUUCUUGAAGAAAUGAAACUGACAGCAUUGUACCCAUCAAUCACCACCAAAACUCAUCACAGAAGGGGGAGUUUUGUUUGCAAUGAACAAGUCUGCUUAUUAUGAACAAAGGAAACGAAGGAGUUCGAGUCGCCUCUCUUCUUCCUCAGAGCAUCUCACACAAGGACAGCUGCUCAGCAUCUGUGGGAAAUGGUUUUGUGAAAGGGAUGGAGAGCAUUGAUUCACCCUAGUGGACUGGGGAAGUCAAAAGUACAGGGGGCUACCUUAGAGCUCCUGCCACCCAGAUGGAGAGAAUCAGGGGGCUCCUCACUCAGAGGCCACGUGAAGGAAACCGCAGUUACUUCCCUGAGGAGCCCUUCACCACGGCUGCAAGCAGACACCCCCAGGGCACUCAGCUUUUGGCUCAACAAUGAACGGCCCACCUGCCACUGCAGGUGCAGAACGCAUGCUGGGGCUAAAGGUCGGGGUGACUUUUGAAUCAAUUUCUCAUAAUGUAGCCAAUAAAAUACCUCAUUAUGAGCCACCA